CCUACGGGAGACAGCAGUAGGGAAUCUUGCACAAUGGGGGAAACUCUGAUGCAGCAACGCCGCGUGAGUGAAGAAGUAUUUCGGUACGUAAAGCUCUAUCAGCAGGGAAGAAAAUGACGGUACCUGACUAAGAAGCCUCGGCUAACUACGGGCCAGCAGCCGAGGUAAUACGUAGGGGGCAAGCGUUAUCCGGAUUUACUGGGUGUAAAGGGAGCGGAGGCGGUAGCGCAAGUCUGGAGUGAAAUCCCAUGGCUUAACCAUGGAACUGCAUUGGAAACUGUACAGCUAGAGUGCAGGAGAGGUAAGCGGAAUUCCAAGUGUAGCGGUGAAAUGCGUAGAUAUUAGGAGGAACACCAGUGGCGAAGGCGGCUUACUGGUCUGUAACUGACGUUGAGGCUCGAAAGCAUGGGGAGCGAACAGGAUUAGAUACCCUUGUAGUC
This 440-nucleotide ribosomal RNA is filed under the name uncultured bacterium. RNAcentral describes it as "partial 16S ribosomal RNA". It matches the Rfam family "Bacterial small subunit ribosomal RNA", at positions 338 to 795 of the family's 1533-position model. The record is from RNAcentral.